UUUAAUAGCCGCAGUAUAUUGACUGUGCGAAGGUAGCAUAAUCAUUUGUCUUUUAAUUGAAGGCUUGUAUGAAUGGUUUGAUGAGAAAGUAACUUUCUUUAUAUUAAGUGUUGAAUUUAAUUUUUUAGUUAAAAAGCUUAAAUACUUCAAUGGGACGAGAAGACCCUAUAGAAUUUUAUUUGUAUUUGAAUUAUUUUAUUUUAGAUAUAAUUUAUUUAUUAAUUUAACUAUAAAUUUUGUUGGGGUGACAGUAAGAUUUUAUUAACUCUUAUAUUUAUUAAUUUUAUUGAUGAUUAUUUUUAAGAUCCUAUUUUAUGGAUAUUUAGAUUAAAUUACCUUAGGGAUAACAGCGUAAUUUCUUCUUAGAGUUCUUAUCGAUGAAGAAGUUUGCGACCUCGAUGUUGGAUUAAAAUUAGAUUUAAGUGCAGAAGCUUAAUUUUCUAGGUCUGUUCGACCUUUAAAGUUUUACAUGAUCUGAGUUCAAACCG
This 488-nucleotide ribosomal RNA is filed under the name Carbula putoni. RNAcentral's name for it is "partial 16S ribosomal RNA". It matches the Rfam family "Bacterial large subunit ribosomal RNA", at positions 1923 to 2618 of the family's 2925-position model. Lineage: Eukaryota; Metazoa; Arthropoda; Insecta; Hemiptera; Pentatomidae. The record is from RNAcentral.